This 495-nucleotide ribosomal RNA is filed under the name uncultured bacterium. Its description in RNAcentral is "bacterial SSU rRNA". It matches the Rfam family "Bacterial small subunit ribosomal RNA", at positions 899 to 1397 of the family's 1533-position model. The record is from RNAcentral.
ACUCAAAUGAAUUGACGGGGGCCCGCACAAGCAGCGGAGCAUGUGGCUUAAUUCGAAGCAACGCGAAGAACCUUACCAGGGCUUGACAUAUGGGUGAAGCGGGGGAGACCCCGUGGCCGAGAGGAGCCCAUACAGGUGGUGCAUGGCUGUCGUCAGCUCGUGUCGUGAGAUGUUGGGUUAAGUCCCGCAACGAGCGCAACCCCCGCCGCGUGUUGCCAUCGGGUGAUGCCGGGAACCCACGCGGGACCGCCGCCGUCAAGGCGGAGGAGGGCGGGGACGACGUCAAGUCAUCAUGCCCCUUAUGCCCUGGGCUGCACACGUGCUACAAUGGCCGGUACAGAGGGAUGCCACCCCGCGAGGGGGAGCGGAUCCCGGAAAGCCGGCCCCAGUUCGGAUUGGGGGCUGCAACCCGCCCCCAUGAAGUCGGAGUUGCUAGUAAUCGCGGAUCAGCAUGCCGCGGUGAAUGCGUUCCCGGGCCUUGUACACACCGCCCGU